AAGGUACCGAACUUCUGUUGUAAGGUACCGAAUUUCUAAAAUUAUGAAGUUACGGUGAUGUAGUAUACUGGAUUUUCAAUCAUCUAUUUAGCAUCUAGGAGCUUCACUAAAUCCAUUUCUAGGGCAUACGAAUCAUUCCUUAGCAAUUCACCAUUGGAGGUUCAUGAAGCUUACCUCAAACCCACCGAACCGUCUCGAAACCCUUCGUUUCGCCGAACGGAGUUGUCCACAAGUCUCUUUGAUUACAUUUACAUUUUCAUCAUCACCAAAAUGAAUACAUAUUUCACUCACAUGCAUCCAGGUACAAUGUACUCUCUAAAAUACAACCACAUCACCUAUGUACACGAGGGUACUCUAGUACAAAAGGAAAGCCACAAGUAGCUAGCUAGGGCACUAAACCCUUACCGCGAUCCUUCUCCGGAACGCUCGCACUCGGCCCUGCAACAAGAUGGGGUGAGAACUAUAUAAAUAUAGUUCCCAGUGGGUUCGGCCGCCGACUCCGCUGAUCUUCUCACUAGGUCUAAGCUGGCACAGAUAGAUAGAUAGAUAUAUAUAUAGAAAUGAAACUGCGUCUAUACUAUACUAUGCCAUCAAAUGCAAGUAAUGCAUGGAAUAUCAUCUAGCAACAAGCCUACUAUCAUGUUAGUAUGCUUCAACAAUGUAAUAAAUACGAAUACAACAUAGUUAUGCAAUCCACUAUCAUAUACUAUGUUUAACCAUCGGAUGAAUAGAAAUCCACUUAUGCUAUUCAUGUCAUUACCCCAUCCACUAGGCUACCCCGCCUAAGAUCUCAAAUCUCAUAGGUACUCACACUACAAGUCUAGUAGGUGAAGAGGUGAAGAGCUACCCCGCCUUUCGCCCCGACUGAUAUCUCAAAUCUCACGGGUGAGGAGCCACGCUGCUCUUAUUUCGCCCGUCUCACAUCUCAAAGCCAUAGGUGAAAAGCUACCCCGCUCUAAUCUCAUAGGUAAUAAGCUACCCCACUCAAUUCUCAAAAGUAAUGAGCUACCCCGCUCAAUCCUCAUAGGGGAAGGGCUACCCCGCCCUUCGCCCCAACUCACUUCCCAGUCCAAUGGGUAAGGAGCUACCCCGCUCGUAUCCCACCCGGUGAGCUACCCCGCUCGUGAGCUACCCAGCUCGUGUGACAACUCCGGAGUGCACUACUUGUGUGGAGCGACCACCACAAGCUCAAAACAGACUUGUGAGUAUGAUCCAAUCCUCGCCAACUGAGGAUACCCUGUCAACUAGGUUAACAAACACUCGAAAAUCCACCUAUUCCUAGGUCCAUGUCAAGUGUCUCAACCACACUAAUCAACUCACACUAGGAAAUUGAACUAUCCCUAUGUUUGAUGCCAUAGUGUCUCAAUUACACUAAUUCUCAUGCAAUAUGCCACGAUUAGGGAAACUCACCUAUUCCCUAUGCUCAAUGCCAUAAGUGUUUCUAUUACACUAAGUUCCAAUGCCACUCGUCAUGUUAAUAAUAUUGUUUACAUGCCACUCAUCCAUGUUAUAGUGUUUUCUAUACACUAGUUCGCAUGUCACUAGUUUUCAUCAUCAAGUCCGAGUUCACCGUUCUCUUAUCACUAUAGGAUCUCAUGUCACAAACCCUAAUCCUCAUGCAUUCUAGAUUUAAGUGUCAAGUCCAUAAUGCUACACAAUUAGACAUGCAUGUAAGGAAAUAGAAAUGCAACUAUACAUACAUCCUAUAAUGCAUAAGAAUAAUAUAUAUGAUCAACUAUUCUAACUCGAACAUAGAAAGAAGCUAAGUUGCUUCGGGAUGGACACCCCCCACCUUUUAAUGCUACCAAGAGGCUAGGGUUCCGAUUUCGUGAUUUUUGUAAGCUUUCGCCGUGAGCUGCGGCAAUUUGUACCAAAACAGGCAUUUUCUCCGAUAUCUUCGCGUAGCUUCAUCGUAUCGCUGAACCGACUUCGCCAACGCGUCAGAAUACCUAUCAAUUUGGUUUGUAUAGGUUCAAUUUAGAUCAAAAUCCCUCACAAGCAAAACCCCUCUUUUAAUGCCCUAAGAUGUAACUAUGCAAGAAUUCAUCAUUUGAUCUUUAAAUUCGAGCAUCAAUCAACUACUUGUGGCUUUCCUUUUGUACUAGAGUACCCUCGUGUACAUAGGUGACGUGGUUGUAUUUUGGAGAGUAUAUUGUACCUGGAUGCAUGUGAGUGAAAUAUGUAUUCAUUUUGGUGAUGAUGAAAAUGUAAAUGUAAUCAAAGAUGUAAAAGUGGAAUGUGAUGUAAUAGCUAGAUGUAUCUCUCUUUAUGCACUUGUAUGUAUACUUGUGUUACUUGCUCUUGUUGUAUUGCACUCUUUGUGCUUCUCUCCUUGUUGGAUCGUGUAUGUAUUGAAUUAUCCCUGGGCAAAUUCUUUGUACAUGAUCCUGUGUUGAGCCUUGGGCGGAUAGGGGAGGUGCUGUCCGUUCGGCGUCCGUCCGGCGCGCCCGAACCGGACCAAAUUGGUAGCGGUCUCGGGGCGGGGCGUGACAGGUAUGGUAUCAGAGCAAGUUAAGAGCAAGUAAAGAGAGAGAGUCUAGGAUUGACCUAGAGGACCUUAGGUUGGGAAACCGUAAGGUUAUAGGUGCGUGAGUGGAACGUGGACCUAUACGGUGGCGGGAGUUGAUCGAUUGGGUCGAAGUGAUUGUAUGUCUCUAGUCGUGGCUAGAGAUGGAUUCAAGUGAUAUGAGUUCUUGGCUCGAAGUGGUAGUGUUGGGCGGCCGACAACACGACACCGAGAGUCUAGAAUGAGUACACUUGCGUGCUUCCGCCUAGUUUGCGACAUUGAGUCGCGUAGUUGUGAUCGCGAGCGAGUUGGUGGGUUAAGUUAAUUAACCCGGUUGUUGCGUUGCAGGAACUAAUGUCCCCAAGACGCUACACGCGCAGAUCUGUUCCGGUACCGUCUUCGGAGGCGCCAGAGCAGGCUGGACCUCCCGAGGCGCCAGAGUCAGUUGGGCCUAGCGAGGUGCAGGAGUUACAGGCGCAAGUGACCGCAUUGACCAACGUGGUGCAGUGCCAGAAGACCCGAUUCGAGCGGCUCCAGGAGCUCUUGGAGCAGCAAAUGGCAGCGGUGGCUGCGAUGGCGACUGGAGGUCGUGACCCGCCCGCACCUCCGGUGCACGCGCCUGAUGUGGCUGAGAGUGAGGGUAUAGCGGCGGUUCCGGUGGCGGCACGUCCCUCGCCGGCAAUUGUUCCUCCGGCAGCGUCAGGAUCGGCGACACCUGAUGCAACGGCCGAGGAGAUGGAGCGAGAGCGUUCGUUGACGGAUCUUAUCAGAUUCAAGAAGUUCAACCCACCAAUCUUUGAAGAGGAGAAAGUGGAGCCGUCGAUGGUGGAGUCAUGGAUUGACUCAAUGGAGAUACUUUUUGAGGAUCUCUAUACCUCGGAGAAAGACAAGGUGUAUCUCGCCACCUAUUGCCUUGGAAAAGUGGCGAAGGUGUGGUGGAAACGGGUGAAGCGAGAUCGGCCUUCUGACCUUCCACAUAUGUUAUGGGAGGAGUUUAAGAGGGCGAUGUUCGCCAACUAUUUUUUCGACACGAUGAAGCGAAAACUGCAGGAGAAGUUUCGCAAGUUGAGGCAGGGGGAUCGCUCGGUAGCGGACUACGAGCAAGAGUUCUCCCACAUCAUAGAUUGUGUCCCGGAGGUUGUUCGAGAUGAUCGGGACCGAGCCAACUGGUGCUUGCGAGGACUUCGGCCGGGGAUUUAUAAGGCCGUGCAAAUAUUCAAGCUCACUACCUUUGUUGAGGUUUUUGAUCGAGCAUUGUGGGCGGAGCAUGGCGAUGCCCACGUGCGAGAAGAACGAGAGGCGUCCGAGAAGGAUAAGGCGAAGAAACCGCCUGGCGGUAGCUCGGGGGGACAGUCGAGUUCCAAGAAGCGCCCGAAGUACCCGAGGAGGCAGUUUGAGAGCCAGGGACCUAUGCGAUGUGUGAUUUGCGGUCAGGAGCAUCGCACAGGAAACUGUGAGUAUAGGGCGGGACGAUGCUUCAGGUGUGGUCAGGCGGGGCAUAUUAGCCGUCAGUGUCCAGAAGGAUCGUCGCCUGCACCGUCUAUUGCAUCCGCCCCAGUGACUCUGGGGCAGUCGGGUGGAGUUCUGCCUGCUGCAGUAUCAGCGGGACGUGCGAUGGCACCGCAACGGCUUGAGGCGACCCGGUCGGCUCCGAGUGGUCAAGUGUUUGCCGCUCAAGCAGAGCGACCUGCUGGGGUCGAGGAGUGUGACACCAUAGGUAUGAUUUAAUUAAAGUAAUCAUACGCUUCUGCAUGAUGUACACUUAAGGAAUUGCAUGCAUUUACUUGUGGUUGUUCGCUACUAUUAUUCAUUGGAUAGUAGGGACCAAGUGGACGGGUUGGUGUAGAUACCCGGGCAUGCUUAUGUGGUGAUGGUGUAGCGCCUGUUGGAGCAGGUAGAGAGCUAGAUAGCACUAGCAAAAUACUGGUGAUGAUUGUUGGACGAGAAGUGAGGCUCGUGGUAGGGCGAUCGGUUAGUGUCCGAGCACGAGCACGUGGGCCUAAUAGUACCUCGAAGUGAGAUGGGUGAGUCGUGCUCGUGUGGCCGGUGCGCUUAGGCAGGGUUGCCUAAUGUCGAAAUUAGUGUACGGCACGUAGAGCGCUCGAGUAUAGGUACUCGUGAAGUACGGUGUUGACUCAACCGGAAAAGUGUGUAGGCAGUAGCACUGUAGCAUUACUAAGUGUGAAGCGCGCCUGGGAUCACUCGUGGGGCUGAUGGCUCGCAUUAGGUGUUUAGGAGCCAAUAGUGAUAUGUGUUGCUCGGGUGAGCAUGUCGUGGGAGACGACGGUUGCGGGUAUAGCUUGAGGAUGAUCCGUGCUUGGACCAUUCGUGGACUGUGGAACCUGGGUGCCUAUGAACAGGCGCAGUCAGCUGUGGGUGGCAGCGGCCCGGGGUAGGGCAGAGAUUUGGUCAGGACGGUAGUCCGAGCUUAGACCCGAGAGCGUGGAAUGCCACGUGUUAGAUCGUGUGAUCAUGGAUGCACUAAGAGUGCAAUGGUGACCCAACCCGAGGAUUUAGAGUGGUUUGGGGUCUUGAUUGCUCCUGGUUGGAGUGUGUGCGAAUUUCCAAGUGAGAAUUUCACCUUGUUAUGAUUGGGUCUGCGUUUGCGAGCGAGAGACGCUACAUGUUGAGACGGGUUUAGGCGGUAGACCUACGUAGCAUUGGUGAACUGUGGUUCGUCUAUGAGAUUGAGAUAAACGGUAGGCGAGUAGCCUUGUCGACGAGUUUAGGUUUGGAUUCACGAACGGGAGUUCGUGUGAGGUUAUUACAAAAGUGGUUCUUCCCACGGUGGUAAUGCACUUUCGGAGUUACACUUAGCAAAUGUGAGUGAAUUUGGUCUCACAUCCUCCGUAGUGGGCCUUGGAUGAUUUCAAUGAGUGAAAGGCUACUCCAAGAAGGAAAAGUGCAUUGGAAUCCCCGAUUGCUCGAUAAAUCGAGUUGGUAUAUGGAUUGGGGUUGAAAUUUGGUUAGUUUCGAGGACGAAACUCUUUUUAAGGAGGGGAGGAUGUAAGGUACCGAACUUCUGUUGUAAGGUACCGAACUUCUAAAAUUAUGAAGUUACGGUGGAUGUAGUAUGCUGGAUUUUUAAUAUAAAAAAAAUAGUGUGAGAUACUAUUUUUAUUGGUCUUAAGGGUGUGAAGUAUAAGUUGGAAAUGACUUGUGCUAAAAUCGGAGCGAAAACAGAAGAUUUAGAAUUUUCUGUGAGAGACGGGGCAGAUAAAUUAGCAGAAAAUGCACAGUAUCAGAAAAUUAUAAAAACUGGAGGAUAUGUCACAAUUAUUUUUGUGAGGCUAGAAUUAAAGUUUCACCUAAUUCUGACACCCAGAAUGUAGAAAAUAAAAUCGAACUGCUAUCUGCUAGAGAUUACAAUUCAGUAGAGCUUUCGGUGACCAAACGGGGUUGAAAUUGAAAGAUUAAAAAUUCUUUCGUUAAGUUAAGUAAAACCGAGCAUGACUGCUAAAUUUGAGCUCAAACGAACAUUUAGAAGAGCAGG
This 5999-nucleotide long non-coding RNA is filed under the name Ananas comosus (pineapple). RNAcentral's name for it is "long non-coding RNA (ACOM_LNC005262)". Lineage: Eukaryota; Viridiplantae; Streptophyta; Magnoliopsida; Poales; Bromeliaceae. The record is from RNAcentral.